This 463-nucleotide ribosomal RNA is filed under the name Xanthomonas sp. oral taxon 037. Its description in RNAcentral is "bacterial SSU rRNA". It matches the Rfam family "Bacterial small subunit ribosomal RNA", at positions 29 to 488 of the family's 1533-position model. The record is from RNAcentral. Lineage: Bacteria; Pseudomonadati; Pseudomonadota; Gammaproteobacteria; Lysobacterales; Lysobacteraceae.
AGUGAACGCUGGGUAGGCUAACACAUGAGUCGAACGGCAGCACAGGAGAGCUUGCUCUCUGGGUGGCGAGUGGCGGACGGGUGAGGAAUGCAUCGGAAUUACUCUUUCGUGGGGGAUAACGUAGGGAAACUUACGCUAAUACCGCAUACGACCUACGGGUGAAAGCCGGGGACUUCGGGCCUGGCGCGAAAGAAUGAGCCGAUGCCCGAUAGCUAGUUGGCGGGGUAAGAGCCCCCCAAGGCGACGAUCGGUAGCUGGUCUGAGAGGAUGAUCAGCCACACUGGAACUGAGACACGGUCCAGACUCCUACGGGAGGCAGCAGUGGGGAAUAUUGGACAAUGGGCGCAAGCCUGAUCCAGCCAUACCGCGUGGGUGAAGAAGGCCUUCGGGUUGUAAAGCCCUUUUGUUGGGAAAGAAAAGCAGUCGGUUAAUACCCGAUUGUUCUGACGGUACCCAAAGAAUA